This 516-nucleotide ribosomal RNA is filed under the name uncultured microorganism. RNAcentral describes it as "bacterial SSU rRNA". It matches the Rfam family "Bacterial small subunit ribosomal RNA", at positions 250 to 783 of the family's 1533-position model. The record is from RNAcentral.
UGGUGGGGUAAUGGCCUACCAAGCCGACGAUCCAUAGCUGGUUUUAGAGGAUGAUCAGCCACACUGGGACUGAGACACGGCCCAGACUCCUACGGGAGGCAGCAGUGGGGAAUCUUAGACAAUGGGGGCAACCCUGAUCUAGCCAUGCCGCGUGAGUGACGAAGGUCUUAGGAUCGUAAAGCUCUUUCGCCUGUGAAGAUAAUGACGGUAGCAGGUAAAGAAACCCCGGCUAACUCCGUGCCAGCAGCCGCGGUAAUACGGAGGGGGUUAGCGUUGUUCGGAAUUACUGGGCGUAAAGCGCACGUAGGCGGAUUGGAAAGUUGGGGGUGAAAUCCCGGGGCUCAACCCCGGAACUGCCUCCAAAACUUCCAGUCUGGAGUUCGAGAGAGGUGAGUGGAAUUCCGAGUGUAGAGGUGAAAUUCGUAGAUAUUCGGAGGAACACCAGUGGCGAAGGCGGCUCACUGGCUCGAUACUGACGCUGAGGUGCGAAAGUGUGGGGAGCAAACAGGAUUAGAU